CAAUAGCGUAUAUUUAAGUUGUUGCAGUUAAAAAGCUCGUAGUUGGAUUUCGGAUGGGAUUUGCCGGUCCGUCGUUACGAUGUGCACUGGCCAGUCCUAUCUUGUUGUCGGGGACUAGCUCCUUGGAUUCACUUCCUGGGACUAGGAGCUGACGAGGUUACUUUGAGUAAAUUAGAGUGUUCAAAGCAAGCCUACGCUCUGAAUACAUUAGCAUGGAAUAACACGAUAGGACUCUGGCUUAUCUUGUUGGUCUGUGAGACCAGAGUAAUGAUUAAGAGGGACAGUCGGGGACAUUCGUAUUUCAUUGUCAGAGGUGAAAUUCUUGGAUUUAUGAAAGACGAACUCCUGCGAAAGCAUUUGUCAAGGAUGUUUUCAUUAA
This 379-nucleotide ribosomal RNA is filed under the name uncultured eukaryote. RNAcentral's name for it is "partial 18S ribosomal RNA". It matches the Rfam family "Eukaryotic small subunit ribosomal RNA", at positions 592 to 976 of the family's 1831-position model. The record is from RNAcentral.